GGCGGGUGGAGCAGGUGUCGGGUAGCGGGGAGCUCGAGCGCGUCGCGACCCACAGGAGGAGCGGCCUCCGGGGCCCCGCGGACCCAGACCCCUGCGAUUCCGGGGGUCGGCCGGGGGCAGUCGUUUAUCACUGAAAAUGCACGCUUAAAGCUGUACAGUGUGAAGGCCAUGUGAGGACACAGUGAGAAGGUGGCCACCUGCAACCCAGAGGGAGAACAUCAACCCUCCUGGCACCUUGAACUUGGCCCUCCAGCCUCCAAAACCGUGAGGAAGAUGUUCUGCUGUUUAAGCCACUCAGCCUGUGGCAUUUUGCUCUUGCAACCCGGCUAAGACAGGGAGAGAGUCUUUGAUGGGUAGUAGCAAAGUCUGACCAAUUCCUGUGAUGGAAGUUGCAGUAGGACAGUAAGAGAGCUAUGGGGCCUCUUUUUUAAUGGCAAGUCUCAAACUCACAAAAGCAGAGAGGACCUAACAAACUCCACAUGCCCAUCAGCCAGCUUCAGCAAUUCCGGCCAGCUUCUGGCCCUUCACCGGCCCCAAGCACACUCAGGCCCAGCGCCCUAGCUGGCAUUGCCUCCAUGAAGCAGAUGCCCUUGUGCCCGCUACCAGGCCUCCGUGGCAGUGGAGACUCGCACUGCUCAGGGCAGACUGUGCGGAGACGGUUCUCAGCAUAGCAAGCACAGAGACGGAUGUACAGAUGCAAGGACUCUCCUGUACCUGCGUCAGGGAUGUGAGGUCACGACGGCAUGCAUGCAGGUGCUGCAGUCACCCUGUGACCACGAGGGACAAGCUAAGAGAACUGUUUAGCAAUUUCUGCCAUCAAAAGGGCAUCCCCCGCAUACAAGGACCCAGCAGCCAGGCUCCCCGCAUUUCCAUGGGUGACCAGGAAGGCUAUGUGGCCACAAGCUGAGGUAUUGCACGUGUU
Balaenoptera ricei (Rice's whale) is the source of this 922-nucleotide long non-coding RNA. RefSeq lists it as uncharacterized. The transcript is spliced from 3 exons. NCBI's taxonomy places the organism in Eukaryota, Metazoa, Chordata, Mammalia, Artiodactyla, Balaenopteridae. The record is from RefSeq and is a predicted model, not a curated record.